UUCAUUCUUUAGAGUAUCAAUUUGGAGGGCAAGUCUGGUGCCAGCAGCCGCGGUAAUUCCAGCUCCAAUAGCGUAUAUUAAAAUUGUUGCAGUUAAAAAGCUCGUAGUUGAAUUUCUGCUGCAUCGUCGCAUCUCUUGCUGAGUGCUUCGUUUCGGCUUAUUUCGGAUUGAUUUUUUCUUUCCGGAUGAUUACUUUGAGAAAAUUAGAGUGCUCAAAGCAGGCUUUUGCCUUGAAUAGUUUAGCAUGGAAUAAUAAAGUAGGACUUUGGUUCUAUUUUGUUGGUUUUAGGUACCAAAGUAAUGGUUAAUAGGAACAGUUGGGGGCAUUCGUAUUUAACUGUCAGAGGUGAAAUUCUUAGAUUUGUUAAAGACGAACUACUGCGAAAGCAUUUGCCAAGGAUGUUUUCAUUAAUCAAGAACGAAAGUUAGGGGAUCGAAGACGAUCAGAUACCGUCGUAGUCCUA
Molecule: ribosomal RNA, 464 nt
Filed under: Theileria sinensis
Lineage: Eukaryota; Apicomplexa; Aconoidasida; Piroplasmida; Theileriidae
Description: SSU rRNA
Rfam family: Eukaryotic small subunit ribosomal RNA
Source: RNAcentral